RNAcentral lists this ribosomal RNA (253 nucleotides) under uncultured bacterium. RNAcentral describes it as "partial 16S ribosomal RNA". It matches the Rfam family "Bacterial small subunit ribosomal RNA", at positions 524 to 776 of the family's 1533-position model. The record is from RNAcentral.
UACGAAGGGGGCUAGCGUUGCUCGGAAUCACUGGGCGUAAAGCGCACGUAGGCGGAUUGUUAAGUCAGGGGUGAAAUCCUGGAGCUCAACUCCAGAACUGCCUUUGAUACUGGCAAUCUCGAGUUCGGGAGAGGUGAGUGGAACUGCGAGUGUAGAGGUGAAAUUCGUAGAUAUUCGCAAGAACACCAGUGGCGAAGGCGGCUCACUGGCCCGAUACUGACGCUGAGGCGCGAAAGCGUGGGGAGCAAACAGG